Long non-coding RNA from Hypomesus transpacificus, 681 nucleotides. RefSeq lists it as uncharacterized. The record is from RefSeq and is a predicted model, not a curated record. The transcript is spliced from 3 exons. NCBI's taxonomy places the organism in Eukaryota, Metazoa, Chordata, Actinopteri, Osmeriformes, Osmeridae.
GAUUCCAGUUGGGCUUCCAGAGUGUUCCAGCAGCCACACUCAUCCCCCGUGUGAGUCCUGUCACUGGGGCUCCCAGCCAGACUGACCACUCAUCCCCCGUGUGAGUCCUGUCACUGGGGCUCCCAGCCAGACUGACCAUCUGGAGGACCAGAUCAGAGGAACCAUGGCCCAGAGAGCUGUUGGUCAGUCUGACUCGUCCUGUCAGCUCUACCCGGCUCUCCUGAUGGUGGGCUGGAUCGUAGGCUGUAUGGUGGUCAUAUACUUUGUCUUUGCUUAGCAGGAGAGAAGUUCAUGGAGGCCUGGCUGAUGGUUCUUCUCCUGGGUGCUGAAUGACGAUGUUGACAAGCUACCGAGAAGAUCCUGUCCUGAUCGUAGCACACAGUCUGGUCGCCAUGGUAUAGAAGUAGACCUUCCUGUAGAACACACCUAUAGCAGUGUAAUGAAGCGCGCUCUCUCUCUCUCUCUUUAUUCCUCUCCCUCUUUCUCUCUAAACUCAUUCUCUCUCUCAGUCGAACCUUGUUAGAGUUAGAGUUGACUUUACCCUAGUCUUUGUUUACUCAGAACAAAGGUGAUUUGUUUUGUGUAUGUUAUAAGAAUUUUACAACUAUAAAAAAGUGUGUCAAUAUAUACAGUCUUAUGCGAUGCGUUUAAAAAAACGUUCCAUGCAAAAUGUGCACUGUC